This 835-nucleotide long non-coding RNA is filed under the name Capra hircus (goat). RNAcentral's name for it is "lncRNA (ENSCHIG00000006807.1)". The record is from RNAcentral. Lineage: Eukaryota; Metazoa; Chordata; Mammalia; Artiodactyla; Bovidae.
CGCCACAGGAGAUUCCACAGCAGAACUGACUGCUUUCCGAGUUAAGCCCCGACUGCUCUGGGAGCUUCCUUCUGGUUUCUGCACCUGAAGAAGGUCUUACUAGCGGAAAGUUCUUAGGGACGGGAGCGAAAAUGAGAAGCAAACAAAAAGGCCUGAACGUAGAGUCCUGAGAGAAAAAUCUGCCCAGCCCCAGACACCUGCCAUCAGUAAGUUGGUUCUCCCCACGGCGGAGCUUCAGACCCCAUCACCUGCCUCUUCCUCCCCAGCCAUCUCUGUGGCUCUGCUUAGGCGUUUGCCGCCCAGGGAAGCCUGAGAUGAGGAAUCUGAACUAAUUUCAUGGCUCCAGGGCCCCUGACUUUAUAUGGGGAUGUCCCCCUCCCAGGCAGAAAUGUCCAUUUCAGCUGUGUAAAGCAACUCCCCUGAGCAGAAGGAAUGUGAAACAACAGGACCAGAAGACUAGCCUCCGGAGCUACAAAUGUAUCAACUUGAAAUGCUGGGCAUAAAUGGAUUAAAAGGAUACAUAGUUGGUGUCUGCUUGAACAAUGGGCACAAUUCAAGCAUGAAAGCAGUAUUUGUAUCCAAAAGAGGUCCUUUCCUAUGCUACAUCCCACAACAUGAGGCCCAAGAUCACGUCUGUCCUAACGAGCUCACAUUUGUGCUUCAGUGGUUUGCUCAAGUGUUACUUCCUUCUUUGCAAAGUCUUAACUGGUCUCUCCAAUCUUUGUGCACCGUUAUCUCUGGCACAUACUGGCAUGAAGCAAAUGUCUGUUGGAUGGAUUUCAAAACCGAGAAGUGGAAGACAUGGAAAAGAAUGAGGAAUGAUGUUGACUACUGA